UGCAACACUUCUAAAUUUUAAAGAACGCUUGGAUUGACAUGAAAUUUGGCAUACACAUAGCUAACAUGCCAAAGAAAAAAAGUGAUAUUGUGUCGAUGUGUGCUUUUGUCCUGGUGGUGAGUUUCACUGCUUCUCGGGGGUGAAAAAAUAUAGGCCCAAAAUAAGUCCGGAAAUGGAUAAACUGACUAAUUUUAAGCAACGUUUGUUCUAUAGAGCUUUUUCACCAAGUCAGUCCUUUUCGACUUAUGUAUUUGCGAGUAAAUAUGUUCAUUUUUCAACAAAACCACGUUUUUAGACCGUUUUUCGCAAAUAUCUCAAAAGCCAUUUGGGACCACUUAGAACCGUUUCCAACCAACUUUAUGGCAACCUUCGAAGUUAAGACUUAAAACCAGCCGAAGACCACCCUAGGGUGCUGCAGCAGUCAAAUCAGCACAGGAAAAGCCGACCGAACGUCAAGAACAUCACCUGAGAAAACUUAACUGGCUCACACCAAAGAACCAGGAGAAGUCGGCCAAACAACCGUCGGUCGACUAGAGUCCACAACAACGGGAACUGCUGGGAAAGUUCAGUUAAGUCCAUAGUUUCUUUCUUGGCUUAAACAUCGAUCCCUGAUUCGCUGAUAUUAAUUUUUAAAUUGUCAAUUAUUAAUUUGGUUACAUGAUAAAUAUAAGCAAUAAGAUGUAAUUAAGUAUCUAACAAUUGAAUAAAGAAUGUGUGUUGAAAA
RNAcentral lists this long non-coding RNA (724 nucleotides) under Diabrotica virgifera virgifera (western corn rootworm). RNAcentral's name for it is "uncharacterized LOC114325586". Lineage: Eukaryota; Metazoa; Arthropoda; Insecta; Coleoptera; Chrysomelidae. The record is from RNAcentral.